AUGGAUUAUGGGUAUGAUUUGGCUUUUUUCUCUCUCUCUCUCUCGCUCUUUCUCUCUGGUCAUUGGUCCAUGGUGUUGGUCCGUUGUGUGCUCUGUGGCAAUCCCACCUGUAGCCAGGAGAGGGCUGCUCAGGCAGGCAGGUCUGGAUGGAUCCACGUUGCUCAGCUUCACAUAGGAAGUGCAGCAGCAGCACUGUUCACUGUUCACGUGAUAGAGAGAGACUGCAUGCUAUACGCCAGGGUGAGAGGCAGGAGCCCAGGGGGAGGAGUUAGACAGACAGACAGACAGAUAACAACAGUGUCAAAUCCUCUGUCUGCAACACUCCUCCGUGGUCUCCUCAGUCAGAGCCCUGCCUGUCACACGGCUUCAGGAUUUGGGGAGCCAUGGAAACAGACGUGUGGAUGAGUAGCUGUCAGUGUCACUGGGGUCUGUGCUGAAGCCGUGUGUUCUGUCAUACUGUGAUGAAAGUCAACAGUCCGUACAACUCUUCCUGCCACCUACUUUCAAGGACUCUUUACCCCACAGUCACAGUCACACACGCGUUGGCUGGUAGUGUUGUGUUAUGUUGACUCUGGCUGUGUGGCGUGGAGUGCAAACUGUGAACAUAUGUCUGCCUUCACAUAAAAGACGUCUCUUCAUGCAUAGCUGUGCGUGAAAUAUGGUCCCUUGAUAAACUCCUAUAGAUAUCGCAUGUCAUGUGUUCUCUUUUCUACAUUUACUGGUAUACGUUCUGUCACAAUGAUAUUUAUAAUAUAUGAACCUGUCGGAGCUGCAUGUGGGUAGAAAACAUGCAGCUUGUUGAGAUCUGAAUAUAUGAAUGUGUUUGUACACUCAGAAAAAAGGGUUCCAAAAGGGUUAUUCGGCUGUCAACAUAGGAGAACUAGUUUUCGUUCCACAUAGAACCCUUUUUGUGAAAAGGGCUCUACAUGGAACCCAAAAGUGUACUACCUGGAACAAACAAAAAAAUUAUUCAAAGGGUUCUCAUAUGGGGACAGCCAAAGAGCCCUUUUAAGUUCUAGAUCGCACCUUUUUUUCUAGGAGUAUAUUAGCUUUUUUUCUAGGAGUGUGUGUGUGUGGGGGUGUGUGUGUUUAUAUACUGUCCUCUAUGUCCAGUCAUCAGAUAUUGUGCUUGUACAUUGUAUGUGUCAUGUGCUUGGUGUGUCAUCUUGUCACCUCUCUCUCCCUCUCUCUCUCACUCACGUUCUCUGUCUCCUCUCACUCUCCUGCUCCAUGCUUUCUAAUCAAUAAGUCCUCUCUCGAAGUCGAUUACCCUCUUCCCCCACAGGAAAACAAACGUCCUUCCACAGGACAGAGGAAAGUGAAAAGAGGGAGGAAAGCGAGAGAGAAUAAUUUAGCAAAAAUACUGUAAACGUGAUGAAAUACCUAAACAGCUGUCCGUGCCACCCCGGAGGAAGGGAGGAGAGCAGGAGAGAGGUGAGAAAGAGGGGGACAUUGAAAGGGUAGUUAUGGGAUGGAUGAUUACCUCCUGUCUCCAAGGUUACACUUUACAACUGUAUCACCGCAGAGCGAGCAGGGAGGGAGGAGGGGGUGACAUGGACAGUCCAUCACAGGGGACUGAAAUAAAGAAGGCAGAGGCACCUUCCUCUGAUAGUGACCUUCAGGUUGAGGAUUAACGCUGGUCCUGACCUCCAGACUAAAACACCAUGGUACCUGCAUCCCAUUCAACAUGGCUAACCCUAACCAUGACCAGCAGAGCAGAAACCAAACAGAAACCAUGGGAAGGAGAGGGAUGGUGAGAAGGGGGUGA
This 1768-nucleotide long non-coding RNA is filed under the name Oncorhynchus mykiss (rainbow trout). RNAcentral describes it as "lncRNA (ENSOMYG00000051949.1)". Lineage: Eukaryota; Metazoa; Chordata; Actinopteri; Salmoniformes; Salmonidae. The record is from RNAcentral.